RNAcentral lists this ribosomal RNA (468 nucleotides) under uncultured bacterium. Its description in RNAcentral is "partial 16S ribosomal RNA". It matches the Rfam family "Bacterial small subunit ribosomal RNA", at positions 28 to 507 of the family's 1533-position model. The record is from RNAcentral.
GACGAACGCUGGCGGCGUGCUUAACACAUGCAAGUCGAACGGAAAGUCCCUGCUUAUGGGGGGUGCUCGAGGUGCGAACGGGUGAGUAACACGUGAGUAACCUGCCCUUGACUUUGAGAUAACUUCAUGAAACUGGUGCUAAUACCGGAUAGGAGCUCCUGCUGCAUGGUGGGGGUUGGAAAGUUUCGGCGGUUGGGGAUGGACUCGCGGCUUAUCAGCUUGUUGGUGGGGUAGUGGCUUACCAAGGCUUUGACGCGUAGCCGGCCUGAGAGGGUGACCGGCCACAUCGGGACUGAGAUACGGCCCAGCCUCCUCCGGGAGGCAGCACUGGGGAAUAUUGCAUAAUGGGCGGAAGCCUGAUGCAGCACAGCCGUGUGCGGGAUAUCGGCCUUCGGGUUGUAAACUGCUAUUCCCUGUGACGAAGCGUGAGUGACGGUAAUGGGUAAAGAAGCACCGGCUAACUACGUG